CCUACGGGAGGCAGCAGUGAGGAAUAUUGGUCAUUGGACGAGAGUCUGAACCAGCCAAGUAGCGUGAAGGAUGACUGCCCUAUGGGUUGUAAACUUCUUUUAUAUGGGAAUAAAACGUUCCACGUGUGGGAUUUUGUAUGUACCAAAUGAAUAAGGAUCGGCUAACUCCGUGCCAGCAGCCGCGGUAAUACGGAGGAUCCGAGCGUUAUCCGGAUUUAUUGGGUUUAAAGGGAGCGUAGGUGGAUUUUUAAGUCAGUUGUGAAAGUUUGCGGCUCAACCGUAAAAUUGCAGUUGAAACUGGCAGUCUUGAGUACAGUAGAGGUGGGCGGAAUUCGUGGUGUAGCGGUGAAAUGCUUAGAUAUCACGAAGAACUCCGAUUGCGAAGGCAGUUCACUGGACUGCAACUGACACUGAGGCUCGAAAGUGUGGGUAUCAAACAGGAUUAGAUACCCCAGUAGUC
This 460-nucleotide ribosomal RNA is filed under the name uncultured bacterium. RNAcentral describes it as "partial 16S ribosomal RNA". It matches the Rfam family "Bacterial small subunit ribosomal RNA", at positions 338 to 795 of the family's 1533-position model. The record is from RNAcentral.